CCCGGUUGUUCAUGUCCAGACCGGGGUUCAGACACUGGUCUUGUUGUUGGAAUGACUUCUCUGGGUAUUGCCAUCGGAAUUGUAUUGGCGUCAGUUGUAUUUGUUAUUCUCUUGAAAAAAAGAACUUCAUCUUCAAAGUCAUCAGACGAUUCGCAAACGGGAAAACAAGUGGAGACCUACAUGACGUAUAAUAAUGAACCGAAGACGGAGAGCCAGACGUACCAGGAUUUAAGGACCAAUGAAGACAACCAAGAUUUUUAUGUGAAUGUAAAAACAAAAAGAUAGAAAAUUCAAAGAUUGAAAAUGAAUUUGGCCUAUGAUAUAUAAUUUUAUGAUGAAGAAAUUGAUUUCUAAAAUGUACCACCUUCAGAAGCGUAAUGCUUUUAGUAUGCGUUAUGAAAUUAUUUCUAUUUUUUACAUGUCUAUAAUUUUAUGUGGGGUAUGAAAUUACUGUCCGAUUGGCGAGGUGGGAAUACGUUGCAACGGGAGAGAGAUAGACUGUUUUAUAAGGAGAAUUGAAAAGGUGAUCGGUUUGAGUCAGCAGUCGGUGGAUUCGGUAUUGACAUAGAGAAAAUGGUAUUGAUAAGCGACUAAAUACAACACUUGUGAUGAAUGACAGAUCAAUAUCAUCCCCUCCAAUGUGAAUUACCGGUAGUUUAACGUAUAGUACAACGAAGUAGCAGACUGAGACCAACGGCUGCUGUCACAAACCGUCAUCUUCGGUCAUUUAUUCGUAUGGCUAUGAAACAUCAUAAUUCAAAUUUUAAGCGAUUAUUAAUUUUUGGUAAAUUUGUAUAAAAUUUAAAUAUUUUAAUGAAUUUUCGUAUUACAUUGUAAGAAUGUUUUUUGUAUGUUCAUUAAUUUGUAAUCGUAGCAAGCUACUUUCAAUUUCUAUGUAUACUGUACUGUAUAGAUGAAUAAAGUUAACUUUACCUUGGUGAUGGGUUCAGAAAAUACUAUAGAUAUUUUGAGUUUGGAGAAAAGUAAUUACAAUUUAUAAAAUUGCUUUCCUUUCCAAAUUCGUACACUGCAUAUUAUAGGCGAACACAAUUGUAUUGCUCUUUUGCAUUAAUGACCGCACUAGAGAAUGACUACAAAAUUUAAUCGUUCCCACCACCACCCCUUUACACAUCCACACCUCCAAGUGUCGGUAGAAGUCUGGCCUUUCUGGCACCCAGUCUUCACAUAUUGUCAUAUAUACUGUGUAAUUUUUACUAUUUGAUGUUACGAAAUAAUAUAGGCCUAUACUGUAUUCGUUAUUACGUUUGAUGCUUAGGUAUUUGUAUUCCAGUGCAACUCCAAGUAUAACCUAUGAGGCUUUUUAGAUAAACCUUUUUUAGUUGUAACUGGUCGAAAUAGAAUUGCAUAAUUUGUAGUAGGGUCAGCAUUUUAAUGGAUGGAUUUUAUUUUAGUCGAGUGCUGACCUAUUUGUUGUACUCUAUUUCUAAACUUUACUUUUCGUCAUCGAUUAAAUGACAA
Long non-coding RNA from Anneissia japonica, 1479 nucleotides. RefSeq lists it as uncharacterized. NCBI's taxonomy places the organism in Eukaryota, Metazoa, Echinodermata, Crinoidea, Comatulida, Comatulidae. The record is from RefSeq and is a predicted model, not a curated record. The transcript is spliced from 3 exons.